RNAcentral lists this ribosomal RNA (492 nucleotides) under uncultured bacterium. RNAcentral describes it as "partial 16S ribosomal RNA". It matches the Rfam family "Bacterial small subunit ribosomal RNA", at positions 29 to 507 of the family's 1533-position model. The record is from RNAcentral.
AGUGAACGCUGGCGGUAGGCCUAACACAUGCAAGUCGAACGGCAGCACAGUAAGAGCUUGCUCUUACGGGUGGCGAGUGGCGGACGGGUGAGGAAUACAUCGGAAUCUACUUUUUCGUGGGUGAGAACGUAGGGAAACUUACGCUAAUACCGCAUACGACCUACGGGUGAAAGCAGGGGAUCUUCGGACCUUGCGCGAUUGUAUGAGCCGAUGUCGGAUUAGCUAGUUGGGGGGGUAAAGGCCCACCAAGGCGACGAUCCGUAGCUGGUCUGAGAGGAUGAUCAGCCACACUGGAACUGAGACACGGUCCAGACUCCUACGGGAGGCAGCAGUGGGGAAUAUUGGACAAUGGGCGCAAGCCUGAUCCAGCCAUACCGCGUGGGUGAAGAAGGUCUUCGGGUUGUAAAGCCCUUUUGGUGGGAAAGAAAAGCAGCAGGUUAAUACCUUGCUGUUUUGACGGUACCCAAAGAAUAAGCACCGGCUAACUUCGUG